Poecile atricapillus (Black-capped chickadee) is the source of this 5111-nucleotide RNA transcript. It is a transcript of the gene named E3 ubiquitin-protein ligase NEDD4-like, with no coding region annotated. NCBI's taxonomy places the organism in Eukaryota, Metazoa, Chordata, Aves, Passeriformes, Paridae. The transcript is spliced from 24 exons. The record is from RefSeq and is a predicted model, not a curated record.
CUUGCCUUUCUAUUCCCCAAGCUCAACAGAGUGAAUGUGAUGGAUGCAGCUUCAUUUUGGGUGCAGAGACCGUGUUCUUGAGUAAUAUGUUUUAACUGAAAAAGAAGAUAAAAUAAUAGCAACACCGGUGCUUCUACAAGGCGAUCUCCAGAACCAUUUUUGGCUAUUCACAUUCUUGUUGUGUCUCAUAAUCCACAUAAACAAUGUGGGAUUGGCUGCUGGCAGUUUGAUCAGUUUGAGCUGCCGUUACUCUUGGGAUUGGCAAUUUUCUGGCUUUUGAAAGCAAGCUGCUUGCAAGCAGAGUUCAGAUGUCUAGGCAGAGGACUGACCCGCCGCAUCCAGGUUUUCAGAGCUGUUGACAAGACUGAGGCUUUCCAGUUCCUCCAGGGAACAGCUGCCCAGGCCCUGAGAUGGAGCUGCACUUCUGGUUACCCAGAGAAUCUUUUCUGCUGCGUGCUGAGAAGUGUGCGCACCCUUCACGUGUGAGUGCCCUCAGGGUUGUAGCAGAGCUCUGACCUAGGGUGGUUGUUCACAUUCUGGUGUAUCCUGUCUGCCUGUCCUUCUCCUGAGCUCCUCUGGCUGUCAGAGGGUGUAACUGUACUCCGUGCUGGCAGAACCACGCCUGGUGGUGUUGCCCAGUCCCUCGCUGGAGGCCAGCCAGGAGCAGGCAGUUCUGUGCAGGACAAAUCGGUACAAAGGCACAUGCGACACCCAGCUCUGCUUUUCCCUCACCUGUACUGCCUGGUAAAUCUGGAAAAGGAGCUUUGUGUCUUGCUGUCCUGCACGGUUCUGCUGCUUUCACUGUGUGAGAGAUCUUUGCCACGUGUACGAUUGCUUUGUUUGUAAUUUGUAGUUACUCAAAGGGGUGUGCAGGUUGCAUUGCUGUUGGGGCUUUUUAAAGGGAAAAGUUUGUUGCUUAAUUGUGUUAUGAGCACGGUUAAAAUGGAAAGCAUAACCGUGUUGUAUUUAUUACUGUUCCGCCAUAACAGCCCAGAGCUGUAACACACCAAAAUGUUACGCUUGAAAGAAUUUUCCUCAUUUGCAUGUGGUGUUGACUUACACUUUUAACACAUAAUGGAAGUGGUUGUGUUGUAGUUAGAUUUUUCUGCAAGUGCUUUCUCGGAGUGUGCCCUGUGAAUCUGAUGUGGUUGAGAUUUAUAGCGGUGCUGAGUGUGUUCGCUGCCUCGGUCAGCUGCGAGAGCUCUCCCGCUGGGGCUGCUCCUCCCUGAUGGAAAAGGAGCAGCUGGGAAGGUGCUGUUUCAGGCUCUUGCUGGCAUUAUAAAAAAAAAAAGAAAAGGAAAAAACAAACUCCUCACACACUUACAUUGGAGAGGGGGAACCAGGCCACGUGACUCCCACCAUCCUACCCUAUGUCACCAUGUGUGUAGGAGCGCUGACUGCUCCUGCCCAAUCAUGCCUGGAAUGCUGCUUGCCACUUGGGCUAUUUCUGCUAUCUGUCGCUCCCAGGGCUGCAGUGCUAACCGUUUGGCAGAUGGGACACUUUUUCUAGGAGUUUAUGUCUUUGGUUUUUAACUUCUGGCAGUGCCUGAAUUGUUGCUGUUCUCCCUCUCCUUUUCUUCUCUCUGUAAAACCAUGGCCCAUCGGCUGCGGUUUCAUUUCGGCUCUGGGAGAAGCAACACAGCCCCCGAAUCGGAGAUCCUUGCCCGGGAGAGAGAAGAUGACUUUUUCAUGGCGUUCCACACCUUGCCAAGAAGAAGCAGCCCUCACGCGUUCUCGCGGCACGGAGCGGAUUACGGCGGCGAUGGAGAUCCGCAGGAAGUGGGCUCCUUGAAAAGGAGCACAUCCAUGUUCAUCCCGCAGCUGCUGAACGGCCUCGACACGCGCCCCACCAGGAGCUCAUCCAUGCAGAUCUCGCUGCAGCGCAAAGGCGCCGACGGCUGCGCCGACGAGUCCCCGGAGUCUCCAGAGGAGACGCCUCUCUGUAAAUUCACAGACUUGAGGGAGCGUUACGCAUCCUCUGCUGAAAACCGCUCUUCUCCGAGCGCUCCACAGGUGACUCCUGAAAGUUCUUCACCCGGGCUGCCGGAGGAGUUAGGGCAGCAGACGGAUGGAACCGUCUGCUGUAACCGUAGAGUAUUUUGUAGUGUUCCAACUAAUAACCAGAGCGAGGAGGCUCUGCUGCCUGCCCAGCGAGAAGAAGCAAGUGAAGCAGCUUCAGCUUUGAACAUAAGCGGCGUGAGGAUUCAGCACCGGGCCUCAAGCACAGAUGUGCCUCAAGUUACUCUACUUCCCUUUGGUCCCGAGGCUCCAAAUAAUGCUCCCACCCCUGAACCCCGACGCUGGUCCUUGCAGCAUGUGCCAGAUCUGUCAGCAAAUUCAGGGAAAAAGUUCUUUGUUCUCCAGUUACAGCAGCCACAGACGAGCGGUGCAGGCGCAGGAGGUGGAGGUAACUUCGGCUUUACCGGAACCAAAGGGGACAGAUUGGUCAGGUACCCUCGGAUCCGGCUGGAAAGGAGUACUUCCUACCCUGUCCAGCCACCAGCAGAGGGAAUUAGCCCCGCAGGUGAUGGGCUGAGUUCAGAACUGCCUGGAAACAGCAGGAACAGGGCAGAAAUACCUAGAAGCAAUUCAGUAGAGCGGAUGCCUCAAGGGCAGGGAUGCUUGUUUAAAAUCAGACCGGAUCAAAACAUGAGGCAGCAGCACUUCAGGAUUCUUGUCACACGUGGGCCUGAAGAACAAAGUCAGGGCGUUGGUCACCCAAAGGAGGCCAGCGGCACCCCCGGUCCCACGGCGGCCGGCCCCGCAACCAGAGACGACUUCCUGGGCCAGGUGGAUGUGCCGCUCAGUCACCUUCCGACUGAAGACCCAACUAUGGAGAGGCCAUACACAUUUAAGGAUUUCCUCCUCAGACCAAGAAGCCACAAAUCUCGUGUGAAGGGUUUCUUGAGACUGAAGAUGGCGUAUAUGCCCAAAAAUGGCGGCCAAGAGGAAGAAAAUAGUGAUCAGAGGGAUGACUCUGAGCAUGGCUGGGACGUGGUGGAUUCCAGCGAUGCCGCGUCUCAACGUCAGGAGGAGCUGCCACCUCCUCCGCUGCCUCCUGGCUGGGAAGAGAAGGUGGACAACCUGGGGCGGACUUACUACGUGAAUCACAACAACAGGACCACCCAGUGGCACCGACCCAGCCUCAUCGAUGUGGGGUCCGAGUCAGAUAACAACAUCAGGCAGAUAAACCAAGAGGCAGCUCACCGGCGCUUCCGCUCUCGGCGCCACAUCAGCGAGGAUUUGGAGCCAGAGCCUAUGGAGAGUGGAGACAUUCCUGAGCCUUGGGAAACCAUUUCAGAGGAGGCAAGUGCCAGUGGGGAUUCCUUAAGCUUGUCACUGCCACCUCCUCCUGCAUCUCCAGUGUCCCGGACCAGUCCUCAGGAGCUGUCUGAGGAGCUGAGCAGAAGACUCCAGGUCACUCCUGAUUCCAAUGGGGAACAACUCGGCUCUUUGAUUCAAAGAGAACCUUCUUCACGACUGAGGUCCUGCAGUGUGACAGACACAGUCGCUGAACAGUCCCAGCUAUCCCUGCAGAAUGGUCCCUCUAGGAGAGCUCGUUCUUCAACUGUCACAGGGGGAGAGGAGCCAACGCCUUCUGUGGCUUACGUGCACACCACGCCUGGAUUACCUUCGGGCUGGGAGGAGCGCAAGGACGCCAAGGGCCGGACCUACUACGUCAACCACAACAACCGGACCACAACGUGGACACGGCCCAUCAUGCAGCUCGCCGAGGAUGGGAUGGUGGGGCCGGGCACGAGCAGCAGCAACCACCUGAGCGAGCCACAGAUCCGGCGGCCCCGCAGCCUCAGCUCCCCCACGGUCACCCUGUCAGCACCGCUCGAGGGCAUGAAGGACUCUCCGGUGCGCAGGGCAGUGAAGGACACGCUCUCCAACCCUCAGUCCCCGCAGCCAUCCCCCUACAACUCCCCCAAGCCCCAGCACAAGGGGGCCCAGAGCUUCCUGCCCCCGGGCUGGGAGAUGCGCAUCGCCCCGAACGGCCGCCCCUUCUUCAUCGACCACAACACCAAGACCACCACGUGGGAGGAUCCACGGCUGAAGUUUCCGGUGCAUUUGAGAUCCAAAGCAUCUCUGAACCCCAAUGACUUGGGCCCUCUUCCUCCUGGCUGGGAGGAAAGAAUACACCUGGAUGGAAGAACGUUUUAUAUAGACCAUAGAAGCCAGGUGUUGAUAUGUGGAGACAUUGAUACCAGAGACUUAGUGCCCUCCUACGAUAAUAAAAUUACGCAGUGGGAAGACCCCAGGCUGCAGAACCCAGCCAUCACGGGCCCAGCAGUGCCGUACUCCAGGGAGUUCAAGCAGAAGUACGACUAUUUCCGCAAGAAGUUAAAGAAACCUGCUGACAUACCCAACAGAUUUGAGAUGAAAUUACACAGAAAUAACAUUUUUGAGGAGUCCUACAGAAGAAUCAUGUCUGUGAAGAGACCUGAUGUACUAAAAGCCAGACUCUGGAUUGAAUUUGAGUCAGAAAAAGGACUUGACUAUGGAGGUGUGGCCAGAGAAUGGUUUUUUCUCUUGUCCAAGGAGAUGUUUAACCCUUACUAUGGUCUCUUUGAAUACUCAGCAACGGACAACUAUACACUUCAGAUUAAUCCUAAUUCAGGUCUCUGUAACGAAGACCAUCUGUCGUACUUCACGUUCAUUGGCCGGGUUGCCGGCCUGGCCGUGUACCACGGGAAGCUGCUGGACGGCUUCUUCAUCAGACCUUUCUACAAGAUGAUGCUGGGGAAGCCCAUAACUCUGAAGGACAUGGAGUCAGUGGAUAGCGAAUACUACAACUCUCUGAAGUGGAUCCUGGAAAAUGACCCUACGGAGCUGGAUCUCAUGUUUUGCAUAGAUGAGGAAAACUUUGGACAGACAUAUCAAGUGGACCUGAAGCCCAAUGGGUCCGAAAUCAUGGUAACAAAUGAAAACAAGCGGGAAUACAUUGAGCGAGGUGCUGUGUCCUGACAGCUCUCCUCAGAGCUUGCAGACUUUGCUGGGAAUUUUUAAUUACUCAGUGCUCUGGAAGAAUAAAAUGUCUGCUCACCCUGGUCAUCCAGUGGCGGUUUGUCAACAGAGUGCAGAAACAAAUGAAUGCCUUUCUGGAG